GAUGAACGCUGGCGGCGUGCCUAAUACAUGCAAGUCGAGCGAACAGACGAGGAGCUUGCUCCUCUGACGUUAGCGGUGGACGGGUGAGUAACACGUGGAUAACCUACCUAUAAGACUGGGAUAACUUCGGGAAACCGGAGCUAAUACCGGAUAAUAUAUUGAACCGCAUGGUUCAAUAGUGAAAGACGGUUUUGCUGUCACUUAUAGAUGGAUCCGCGCCGCAUUAGCUAGUUGGUAAGGUAACGGCUUACCAAGGCAACGAUGCGUAGCCGACCUGAGAGGGUGAUCGGCCACACUGGAACUGAGACACGGUCCAGACUCCUACGGGAGGCAGCAGUAGGGAAUCUUCCGCAAUGGGCGAAAGCCUGACGGAGCAACGCCGCGUGAAUGAUGAAGGUCUUCGGAUCGUAAAACUCUGUUAUUAGGGAAGAACAAAUGUGUAAGUAACUAUGCACGUCUUGACGGUACCUAAUCAGAAAGCCACGGCUAACUACGU
This 496-nucleotide ribosomal RNA is filed under the name uncultured bacterium. RNAcentral's name for it is "partial 16S ribosomal RNA". It matches the Rfam family "Bacterial small subunit ribosomal RNA", at positions 28 to 506 of the family's 1533-position model. The record is from RNAcentral.